GUCGUCGGGGCCGCGGAGCGCGAUCUCGCGGGGGCUAUCGAUCGCCGUGAGCUCGCGUUCGAGCGUCGCGACGACGGCGC
Molecule: transfer RNA, 80 nt
Filed under: Halarchaeum nitratireducens
Lineage: Archaea; Methanobacteriati; Methanobacteriota; Halobacteria; Halobacteriales; Halobacteriaceae
Description: tRNA-Asp
Source: RNAcentral